This 253-nucleotide ribosomal RNA is filed under the name uncultured bacterium. RNAcentral describes it as "partial 16S ribosomal RNA". It matches the Rfam family "Bacterial small subunit ribosomal RNA", at positions 524 to 776 of the family's 1533-position model. The record is from RNAcentral.
UACGGAGGGGGCUAGCGUUGUUCGGAAUUACUGGGCGUAAAGCGCACGUAGGCGGCUUUGUAAGUUAGAGGUGAAAGCCCAGGGCUCAACCCUGGAAUUGCCUUUAAGACUGCAUCGCUUGAACAUCGGAGAGGUAAGUGGAAUUCCGAGUGUAGAGGUGAAAUUCGUAGAUAUUAGGAAGAACACCGGUGGCGAAGGCGGCCCACUGGAUCGGUACUGACGCUGAGACGCGAAAGCGUGGGGAGCGAACAGG